Non-coding RNA from Gopherus flavomarginatus (Mexican gopher tortoise), 72 nucleotides. NCBI's taxonomy places the organism in Eukaryota, Metazoa, Chordata, Testudines, Testudinidae. The record is from the annotation of a RefSeq genome assembly.
UCUUUAGUGGUCUAGUGGUUAAGACUUUGCACUUUCACUGCCAAGACCUGGGUUCAAUUCCCAGUCAGGGAA